CAGCGGGAGCAGCAGGGAGGAGGAGGAGGAGGAGGCAGGGAGGCUUCCCCGGAGACCAUUGGGAGCUGUCCAUGGUGCGAAGGGAGGGGGGGGGGGGAAGCACGCCAAGCCAGCCUCCUCUCCGCUUUUUCCAUCCAUCUAUCUCAGUGGUUUUCAACCUUCUCAAUAUAGUCCCGCAUGUUGUGGUGACCCCCCAAACCAUGAUAUUAUUUUCCUUGCUACUUCAUAACUCUCAUGAAUUGUAAUGUAAUGCAAAUAUCUGAUAUGCGGGAUGUCUUUUCCUUCACUGGACCAAAUUUAGCCCAAAUACCCCAUCCUCCCAAAUUUGAAGACUGGUGGGCUUGCAGGAGCUGGGGCUAACAGUGGGCGCUCAUUCCGCUCCCAGGAUUUGAACCUGGGACCUUUCGGUCUGCAAGUUCAGCAGCUCAGUGCUUUAACACACUGCGCCACCACCAGGGGCCCAAAUUUAGCCCAAAUACCCCAUCCGCCCAAAUUUGAAGACUGGUGGGCUUGCAGGGGGUGGGGAUGAUUUUGUCAUUUGGGAGUUGUAAUUCUUGGGAUUUAUAGUUCACCUACAAUCAAAGAGCAUUCUGAACUCCACCAAGGAUGGAAUCAAACCAAACUUGGCACACAGAACUCCCAUGACCCCAAACCAUAACAUUAUUUUCCUUGCUACUUCAUAACUUUCAUGAAUUGUAAUGUAAAUAUCUGAUAUGCAGGAUGUAUUUUCAUUCACUGGACCAAAUUUGGUGCAUCCAUCCAUCUUUCUGCUUAUUCUAUCUAUCUAUCUAUCUAUCUAUCUAUCUAUCUAUCUAUCACAGUGGUUCCCAAUUUUUUUGACCACCUGACCAGGGACCACUUUGACCAGAGACCACUUUGACCAGGAACGACUUUGACCAGGGACCACUUUGACCAGAAACCAGUUUGACCAGGGACCACAUGACCAGGGUCCACUUUGAUCAGGAACUAUUUUGAUCACGAACCACUUUGAACAGGGACCACUUUGACCAGGGACUACUGUGACCAGGGACCACUUUGAUCAGGAACCAUUUUGAUCAUGAACCACUUUGACCAGGGACCAAUUUGACCAGGGACCACUGUGACCAGGGACCACUUUGAUCAUGAACCAUUUUGAUCAUGAACCACUUUGACCAGGAAUCACUUUGACCAGGGACCACUUUGAUCAGGGUCCAUUUGACCAGGGACGACUCCAACAUAAGUAUCCAAAGAGUUACGAAUCAGUUUUUGGUCAACUAUAGAUUCAGUUUGGAUAUUUGGGGUGCUGAUUCAGAAAAUUGCAGUGGAUAGACCACAUUAGCUCUAGUUUCUGAUACAGAACAUAUGCCAUCCAGUAGUCACCAUCUGCUUGUCCACAGAAAGUCAUAUUUAAUAAUCUAGAGCUGAUGUGGUUUAUCCAAUGCACUUUUCUGAGUCAGCACCCAAAUAACCCCAGGAACAGGCCUAAAAAUGAAGACUGCUUCCAGGCACCACAUGGGGGGAAGGAGGAGGAGCAGCAGCAGUCAGGAGGCUUGUUGUCACACCUUUCAUGGGUAGGCAGCUUCUCCCCUCCCAGCAUCCCCAUUGCCUUAGCACUAUAAGAGGAUUUCGUGAGACCAGUCGCUCUUGUUGCAAUAGUGUAGUAAAGGUGAUAUCAUGGACCAUAUAUUACUUCUUGGGGACCCUCCAAUCUGGCACUUAUUUAAACUAGGCAACAUUUAGAACAACACUCUGAAAACAGGGGAAUUCCAGACAUGAAACAGUCAGGGCCAAGUAACACCUGGUUAACAAAGCUGCAAGGUCAUUCAGUGCUAAUCACGGUGCACCAUUCACACUUGCCUCAAACAGACAAGUUCUUUCUCCCACCCUGGACUUUCCACAGAUAUAUAAACCUCACUUGCCUAGUUUCCAACAGACCUCACAACCUCUGAGGAUGCCUGCCAUAGAUGUGGGCAAAAUAUCAGGAGAGAAUUCUUCUGAAACAUGGCCAUACAACACGGUAAACUCACAGCAACCCAGGGUAAAAAAUGAUGAGGAAGAAAGAAAAGGGAACAGAAGAAAGCCCAUUUUUGGGAAGGAGGAGGGAAGUGGGGAGUUAUGGACCUUAUAUUUUGGCAGCCUGUCAUUCAUUCAGAGUCAAGAGUCAAUGAUUCCAUCUCUUACAUCUGCUCAUCUCCCUGUCAGUUAGGCCUCAGACUUUUAGAAUUCAGGCUUAACCUUAAAGAUGAUAUUGCAAUAGCACCUUAAGCACUCACUAGUUUGAUCUGGCACAACCAUUCACGGACUACAGCUUCCUUCUCCGAAUGCAUAAUAGCCUUGCCUAACUUGUUAUACCAGCCAAACUCUAACAUUGAAAUUUCUUCUAAUGUUCAAUCAAAAUCUGCUCUCCUGCAACUUAAAACCAUUUGACCAGGCUCUAGUAUCUGAAGCAGCAGGGAACAAGCCUGGCCCAUCCUCUCUGUGAAAGCCUUUGAGGUAUCUGAACAUUGCAGUCAUGUCACUGCAGUCUUCUCUUCACCAAGAUGAACAAGUCCAGUUCCUUCAAUCUUUAGCCAUAAGCUUUUUUUCUCCAAACUUGUUAUCAAACGUGUUGCCAUUCUCUAAACCUGUUCCAACUUGCUUAAAAUUAGUUACCCAGAACUUAUCAUGGCAUGGAAUAUAGUCAGAUUUUUUUCCCCCCUGACUUGGAAAAUGUGCUUCUAUUAAUGGAGGUUAAAAUAGCAUUCACCUUCUUUGUUAAGGCAUGACACUCUGGCCUCAUGUUCAAUUUAUGAUAAACAAGCGUACCAAGGUCCUUAUUGCAGGUAUUACUGCUGAACAAUAUAUUCUCUAUCCUAUAUCUGCUCGUUCGGUUUUAGUGUCCUAAUGACAGAAUUAUCACAUAUCUCUAUUAAAUGUAAAGUUAUCAAUUUUGCAAAAUUUUCUGGUUUGUUAAGGUCAUUUAUUUUCCCUAUCUUUCAAUGUUUUGCCUGCCCUUUUCAGUUUUGUGUCAUUUGCAAAUUUGAUCAGGAUUCCCACCACCCCAUCAAUUGGGUGGGGUAUAUUCACACUGUAGAUCUAAUGCAGUUUGACACUACUUUAACUACCAUAACUCAGUGCUAUGGAGUCAUGGUAGUUGUAGUUUUACCAAGUAUUUGCCUUCUCUACCCAAGAGUGCUGGUUUCUCAUCAAACUACAGCUCCCAUAAUUCCAUAUCACUGAGCCAUGGCAGUCAAAGUGAUGUCAAAAUGUAUUCAUUCUACAGUGUAGAUAUGCCCUGUUGUUAAUAAAUAUGUUGAAGAGUAAUGGCCCUAUAGCACAGCCUGACACACUCACUUGAGACCGCCUUUCAGAUUGAGACAUAGCCAUUGAUAUAACUCUUUGAGCAUGAUUACCCACCAACUGUGGAUUCCCCUCCUGCAUGUCUUUCUGAUAGGCCAAAGGCAGGGGAGAUGUGGACUACCAAAAAUUGCCAUAAGCUCUUUAUAGCAUAGGCAGUUAUGAGGGAUGGUGGGAGUUGCAGUCCAAAUGAACUUGAAGGACAGCAUGUUUCCACUCCCUACUGUAUUUUUUAUGAACCUGACAAAACUGUUGUCCUUUGGUAUUGUAUAGAAGCUGAAAUGCUGAUUGAUGGUGAACUAGGGAAGAUUGUAGCUAUAUAUAACUGGAGGUUCUUCCUUUCCUUUUAAGCCACGUAAUAUUUUGAGAAGAGGAUGUAUUUACCAAAACAUUGUUAGGUUAUGUAUGCAAGUUAAAGCAAAUCCCACUAGACCAGUAAGUGUAAUUAAUUGGUUACAUGUGACUUGAAGGUAAACACACAUACAUAAAUAGGUGUGCCAAGGUGCAAAGCCCGUUUUGUUUAACAAGCCGUAUUUACUGAGAAACCAACCUCCUUCCUUUUGCAAUUGCCACCAUUCUCUCCUUCACUUUCACAGUUCUUAUCCCACUGGCUGCCAGUUAUCUACUGAGCACAAUUCAAAGUGCUGGCUUUGGCCUAUAAAGCCCUAAAUGGCCGUGGCCCAGUUUCCCAGUCCGAAUGCAUCUCCCUCUAUAAACCACCGUGGAGAUUAAGGUCUUCCAGGGAGACCCUGCUCUCGGUCCCACCACCGUCACAGACACGAUUGGCGGGGACAAGAGACAGGGCCUUCUCAGUAAUUGCCCCUGGCUAUGGAACUCCCUCCCUGGAGAGAUGAGAUCAGCCCCCUCCCUCCUGUCCUUUAGAAAGAUGGUAAAGACCUGGUUGUGGGACCAAGCCUUUGGGGCAGUGCAAUCAUGGCAGCAAUAGGAAAUUUCACCCUGCUGACCGGAUACAGUGCGGCUGUCUUGUGAUGGUUUUAAAUAAUGGUUUUAAUGUGAAGAUAACUGAUUUUAGUGUUUAUGUAUAUUUAUGGUUUAUUUUAUGCUCCGGGAUUAAAUGUUUGCCGUAUAUAUGUUGUGCUCCGCCCUGAAUCCACUUUGGGGUGAGAAGAGCGGAAUAUAAAUGUUUUAAAUAAAUAAAUAAACAGUCUUUUAAAUUGUGUCCUUUCUCUGCAAUCAAUGGGGAAUUUUCCCUGAUCCAUCUCCAUACAGAAGCUUACAUUUUCUCUUCUGCCUUUGUUUCUUCUCUAGGUUCUUUCCAUUCUUUUAUGAACAAUUCUUUUCUUGCUCUAGUUUAUUUCAAAGUACACAGCUCCUACCCCUCAGCUAUUCUAUCCUUUUCUUUAAAUUUCCCGGAGAGAUGAUAAUUGAAACUAGAGCUUGUUCCAGGUCUGCUAAGCUAUGCAGAGUAAUGGCAAAUUGAACUUAUUAGUGACACUGAGCAUUGGCUUUAGAUUACCUGACUCUGCUCCUCAAGCCAUGUUCUUUGGGGUAUCUGUUUUGUGUGUACUUCAUUGGUUCAACUUUAAUUCUUGGCAGCCUUUCCUCUUAAAUAUGGAAAACCUCUUUUGUCGGUGAAAUCCAGACCAUGGAACAUUUACCUUUUGAGGCUACAGCCCAACAAAUUCUGCAGCCAGCAUGACAAUUGCACACCAAAAAUAACUCGACAUCAAAAUUAGAAAAAGUCCCAUGUCCUGCUUAAAUUUUGGAUUAGGUGCAGUGGCAGUAAUAUUGAGGAAUUGCUAGUGCUCAGAUCUUCCCUCUGACUAGAACUAGGUCAACCUGAAAGCACAAAGCAAAAUAACCUAGUGUUCCAGAGAUCAGGACAAAAUAAUUGCUCCUUUCUAUGACAACUCCUGGGUUCUGGGGAACUGAAUUCCCAAAGGGUACCUUUUCCAAGCUCUGUUUAGUUUCUUUAUAAUGUACAUAUCCUACAUCUUUUUUAGUAGUUGCUUUUGUGAUAGUUUUUUUUUUUUCGUGUCAGGAGCAACUGGAGUUGCUUCUGGAGUGAGAGAAUUGGCCGUCUGCAAGGACGUUGCCCAGGGGACACCUGGAUGUUUAGAUGUUUUACCAUCCUUGUGGGAGGCUUCUCUCAUGUCCCCGCAAGGAGCUGGAGCUGAAAGAGGGAGCUCAUCCGCUCUCUCCCCGGGUGGGAUUUGAACCUGGCAGCUUUCAGGUCAGCAACCCAACCUUCAACUCAUGAGGUUUUUAUCCCCUAGGCCACCGGAGGCUCCUUUGUGAUAGUGAAACAGUUAAGCAAUGGAUAUUAUUUAUGAGCUGGGUCUGGCUAUGAUUGUCUUGGUCUAGUUAAAGAUUAGCUGUUAUGGUGGUCUAGAUAAAAAUUGCAACCUUAUAUUUGUACUUAAUGAUGAUACUUGUACUGGGAUGACAAUUUUGUAAAGGAAAGAAUUGUGCACAAAAAAUAAUAUCUUCAUUCUACAUAUGCAUCUAACCUACACCAUAGAAUUUAUGCAGUUUAGCAUGGCUCAUGGAGUCCCUGAUGGCACAGUGAGUUAAACAGCUGAGCUGCUGAACUUGCUGACUGAAAAGUCGGUGUUUCAAAUCUGGAUUGUGGGGUGAGCUCCCGUUGUUAGUCCCAGCUUCUGCCAAUCUAGCAGUUCGAAAACAUGUAAAUAUGAGUAGAUCAAUAGGUACCGCUCUGGCAGGAAAGUAAUGGCACUCCAUGCAGUCAUGCUGGCCAUAUAACUUUGGAGGCAUCUACGGACAAUGCCAGCUUUUCGGCUUAGAAAUGGGGAUGAGUAUCAACCUCCACAGUCGGACACAACUAGACUUAAUGUUAAGGGAAAUCCUUUACUUUACUUACACAUGCAUGUAACCUAUACCAUAGAAUAAAUGCAGUUUAACACCACAUUAACUGCCAUGGCUCAAUGGUAUUGAUCCCAGGAGUUGUAGUUUGGUGAAGCACCACUGCACAUUGGCAGAGCAUGCUACAGAUCUUGGAAAUGAUAACUCCCAUGAGCACCAACCCCCAGAGUCGGACACAACUAGACUUAAUGUCAGAGGAAAACCUUUACCUUUACCUUAUGAUUCCAUAGCAUGGGAGUAUGUUAAUUCUACAAAGCAAAUGCACCCAAACAUAAGGAAUUUUUCAUUUUAAUUUGUGGCAUUGUGCUGUGCAUAUCCCAGUACAGAAUGUUAGGCCAAGCACAUUUGAUGGAUCAGUGUGCCUAGAACUGCAACCUUCAUUGAGUGAAUUCUAAUCUACAAUCCUGAAUUAAUAUAUAUGAGAACAUAGCAUUAGUUUAAUAAUCCCAAAGUAUUUGAUAAUGUUGAUAUGCUGGCAUUUUUAGAACAAAGAAUAUGGUCUUGCCUUUUGGGAUAAAUAUGCCGUUAUAAGAAGAAAACUUUUGAUGAGAGACAAUGUGAGAUAGUAUUGCUAAGUGUCAGUGUGAAGCAUGGAUAGCAAGCACCACUUCUGAUGGGAGAUGGUAUUUUCCAUUCAAUCACUACUUUGGAAGUGGUUUCAAUUCAGAGAACCGUGCGAGGGUAGAGCAAAUUCACCUUCUUCUACCCAACCCUCCCUUCUAUCAACCUUUAAAUCAGAGGUGGGAAAUGUGUGAGCCUCUGCUGUCGGAUUGCAGCUUCCAUCAGUCCAACUAGCACAACCAAUGGCAAAGAUCAUAGGAGUUGCAAUCCAAUGAAAUCUUGAAGGUCAUGUAUUUUUUGUUCCUGCUUUUAAAAAAUACACUAGUAAAGAAAUACUGAUAUUCAUGCAACUAGUGGAAUAUUGAUUGGAUAAUAUUUUUUCAGCUUAUUUGACAAAAGGUACAUUUUACAUAUGUGUACAGAAAGACAGAAUCCCCUCUUUCCUUUCCUUUUUAAUUACAUAGAGCUAAAGAGAUGUGUUUGGUGGAUGGAUUCCUGGCAUCGCCUCCUCAAGAGGAACAUAUGGCUGCUGCUAUUUUUAUGAACAGCGACUUCUAUGUUCCAUGCUUCAAGGAAAACGGGAAAGGGCUUUAUUCCUCAUUACGAUCAGAACUUUGCAGUCUGGUAUAUGUAUCCGCUGUUAUUGAAAGAGCUUGCACUGAAGCUCUCGGGAGAAGGAGAGAGCUUAUAGAGAUAGAAUCAUUUUUACUGUAGUUCACAACACAAAGGGUUGGAUCUAAAAGCUACCCUCCUACAAAAGGGAUGCUUCCAUUAGUGUGUGGGUGCGCAUCCCUUUUUUGCAGACCCCUGGUAUCCUAUCACUCACCAUAUAUACUGUUGAAUCUUUGCUCUAACAGCUGUUCCCAUUUUAGCAGCAUAACAAGAAAACAUGUUCUGCUCCAUAGUCUUGCAGAGCGCUAUGACAUGGAUGGGGCCAAAGGCAAGCGACUAGAGCUAAAAAUACAUCUGAUGAGAAAGGGACUUCUUUGCUGGCUUUGGAACUAUCUUCCAAAUGAAGGGGCAAACAGACUCAUCAAUUCACCCUUUUACCCAGCUAUCAGUGGGGAAGAUAGAUAAAGUUGUUAUAAGGCAGAAAACAACAAGCUUCUAUCCUCUUUUCUUGCCCUUUUGGAUUUAUUGAAGGUGCACAGACAUUAUCCAAGUUGACUUCUUGCAACCGUACUCAAAAGGCAAAAUGUUUUGGUGGAAAAUUAAAAAAGAAACCAACUCUUGAUUUAUUACAUUUAUAUCCUACCUUUCCCACCUCCUCCUCACUUUAGACCAGGCAUGGGCAAACUUCAGCCCUCUGGGUGUUUUGGACUUCAACUCCCACAAUUCCUAACAGCCUCAGGCCCUUUCCUUUACCCACUUAGCUGCUUUAGAUGAAGUUUAUACAUGCCUGCUUUAGAUUCAUAGAGUAAAUAAUGUGUCAUGGCAGUUAGUGAUGUUAAAAUUCCAUUAAUUCUACAGUGUAGAUGCAUCCUGAGUGACUGGCUGAAAGUUAUAUGGCAUGUUCCAUGGCUCAGUAGAUUAACCAAACCAGAGUCCAACAGUGUAUCUGCUAUACCACGCUGGCUCUCACUUAACUGUCCUUUUUGUCAAUUUUAUUGGCUAUUUAUUGUACUGCCCAUUUCAGAUUAAGAGGCUGGAUGGACCUUUAAAAAAACCCAGACAUUCUGCAACCUGCCAUUUUGGAAUUUAUUGUCCAAUCAAUGUUGGUAUAUAAUGGAAAAGUUAAUCUGGUAGUUGUACCCAAACAUCAGAACACACACUAGUCUUACAGAUUUCAGUUAGGAACUAAUCGCCUACUCUCUCUAGUUUUCAUGGCAAAGAAAGCAAAUUCAAAGGUUUUAUUCUGACAAGCCUCCUUUGUGAUAGAAGGGGUUUCAGAGUUCUCUUCUGUUACAAUAAAGAAAAUACCACCUUUUAAAAAUAAACUUCACUGAUUCAAUUGUUUGCAUUUUUGAACUAAUAACAGUUGACAUUAAUAAGGGAGAAUACACGCCCCAUGUUAAAAUAGCUUCAUUGGCCACAAAUUUGUUUCUGGGCAUAAUUCAAAGUGGUGAUCACGACCUAUAUAGCUCUAUAAAGCUUGAGUCCAGACCAACCAACCCAUAUGAACCUGCCAAAGUUCAAAACCCUAUAGGGAAAGCUUUCUCUCAAUCCCACCACCAUUAUAGUCUUAUAUGGUGAGGACAUGAGAUGGGGCCUUUCUCAGUGGCUGUUUCCACCCUCUGGGUCAACCUUCUACAAGAGGCUAGUUUGGCCUCUUUCCCUUCAUCAGCACACAAAGACAUUUAUUUUUAAGCAGACUUUUAAUUUAUAAUCAGGGGAGCUUCUUACUGGGUUGUUCUAUUCAUUUUAUACAACUUUGUUUCUUGAAUUAUUUUAUCUUGUUCUGUGAUGAUUCCAUAGUUUCAAAAUUUCCUUGAGCAUGGGUUACUGUGAAUUUUCCGGGCUGUAUGUCCAUGUUCCAGAAACAUUCUCUCCUGACAUUUCACCCACGUCUAUGGCAGGCAUCCUCAAUGGUUGUGAGGUCUGUUGGAAACAAGGCAAGUGAGAUUUAUAUAUCUGUGGAAGGUCCAGGGUGGGAGAAAGAACACUUGUCUGCUGGAGGCAAGUGUGAAUGUUGCAAUUGGCCACCUUGAUUCGUUUCUGGAGUAGAACAACUACUUUCAAAGGAAGUACCACACAAUUAAACAACAAAUAACACUUGCAAACCAGGAACAGAACUUUUUUCUUUCAUUUGUUUUUACAUAGUGUUAUUCCUAGAAGCUACCUUGAGUCCCAUUUUGGGAGAAAGGUAGCAAACAAACAAGUAUUUGCCAAUAUAUAUCUCAUAUCUGUUUACAGUUUGUCUUUUCUGUGGACUGAUCUAUUACUGCAAUAAAUAUUACUGCAUGGUACUAUAAUGGUCAAAUUCUAGCCCAUGUCAAUCAAGCCAUCAAAUCGGUGUCUUUUAUCACCUAGAUCAUCCAUGAUUUUUGGUCUGAGCAACUAUACUUCCUUUUACUCAGAACUAGCAUUUAACCUUCAUUUGAGUUUUUUAAUCCAAUCUGUCCUGUUUUCUUUGCAUUGACAGCUCGUUUUCUUUGGCUACUUCAUCUGCUAUUCACAUACUACCACUCACAAGGAAAAACAGAUCAGGUGUAGGUACAAAAUGUCCUUUGAACACAACUUCCUGAACUAUGAUCCUUUUCAAACUGUCUUCCAGAUCAUAACUUGCCUGUUUCAAACACAGAAUUAGAGGGGUUAAAUCUAAAUGAUAAAUAAGUCCAUUUACUAAAGUCAUUGCACUAAUUAUAGUAGUGUUGAUGUUAUAUUGAUUUAAGCCCUUUGCUACAUACACUAAUGAUUACCAGAGCACACGGAGCAUAGAACUUUAAUAUGCUAAAUCCUAUACAGAAAUUUGCAAGUUGAAAACAUAAUUGGUAACUGAAUUGUUGCUGGACUAGAUAAUUUAGAGAAUUGGAGAACAGUGUUCCCUCACUUAUCACGGGGGUUAGGUUCCAGGACCACCCGCAAUAAGUGAAAAUUCACGAAGUAGGGAUGCUAUCUAUUUAUACAUUAUUUUAGUAGUUAUACACUGUUUAAAUCUUUAUCAACCAAUGUGUGUUGAUAAAUCGCUUCCUUCUCCUCUCGUUGCUGCUUGGGCUCCUUUUUGCUCCCUUUGGCUUCUCCUUCCUCCCUUCCUUAGGCUGUAAAUUGUAUUUUUUAUGUAAUAUUAUUUAGAGUUUAUUGAAAAACUGCGAAACAGCGAAUCCGCAAAAAGCAAACUGUGAAGUAGUGAGGGAACACUGUACUUGUUUGAGUGUGUUAUGUACUUUAAAUACCUGGAGGGGCCAAGCAGGUAAAAUUCACUUUGGUUAUAACAUUUAAUACAUCUUAUAAAACCUUGGUCUUUUUGUCA
Anolis carolinensis (green anole) is the source of this 10630-nucleotide long non-coding RNA. RefSeq lists it as uncharacterized. Lineage: Eukaryota; Metazoa; Chordata; Lepidosauria; Squamata; Anolidae. The record is from RefSeq and is a predicted model, not a curated record. The transcript is spliced from 2 exons.